This 587-nucleotide long non-coding RNA is filed under the name Pan troglodytes (chimpanzee). Its description in RNAcentral is "lincRNA". The record is from RNAcentral. Lineage: Eukaryota; Metazoa; Chordata; Mammalia; Primates; Hominidae.
CAGGUGAGGCACACAGAGGGGGAGGCCCGCAGCUGCGUGGGAGGAGGGGUGGUCUGAGGGACGUGGGAUGCCGGGAAAGAGGCUGGUUUGCAGGUUGGCGCAUGGACAUUUUCCCAGAAAGGGACAGAGACGGCGAAGUUUGACGGUCUGGAAAGCAGAGACCAGCAGGGCUGACUGCUUGGGAGGAGGAGAAUGCUAUUUAUUUCAGCACCAAUUAUCCGGACAGCGCCUCUCGGGAGGUCCGAGAAGAGAACCGCGAUCUGUUUCAGCACCGGGGCUCAGGACAGUUCCCAGCGGGCUCCGUUUCGGCUCCAGAACCCUGGACAGCUCCUCCAGCUUGGAAUGCACUCCCUCCACCUCCACCCAGAGCUCCCCACAACUGACCCUGCCUUCUCCUGCAAGCUCCAUUUCAUCAAGGGAAAGGAUCCUUAUUGCCUCACCAUUUCCCACGUGAAGUCUGUAUUGACAUUCUCACAGACCUGGGAUAUUGUGUCUGCAGCACAUACUCCAAUUAUUUUCAUGUUAUCUACUGACAGGUCUAUUUGUCUCCCUGUUACACUGUGAGCUCCGUGAGGGCAGAAACAAUG